RNAcentral lists this ribosomal RNA (458 nucleotides) under Zeacumantus subcarinatus. RNAcentral describes it as "eukaryotic LSU rRNA". It matches the Rfam family "Eukaryotic large subunit ribosomal RNA", at positions 2379 to 2828 of the family's 3401-position model. Lineage: Eukaryota; Metazoa; Mollusca; Gastropoda; Cerithiidae. The record is from RNAcentral.
ACGGGNUUGGGCGAAUCAGCGGGGAAAGAAGACCCUGUUGAGCUUGACUCUAGUCUGACUUUGUGAAGAGACAUGAGANGGUGUAGCAUAGGUGGGAGCGCGAGCGACCUUGAAAUACCACUACUUUUAUCGUUUCUUUACUUAUUCAGUCGAGCGGAGAGCGGGGCGCAAGCCCCUAGCUUCUGGACUUAAGCCGGCCGCCUCGUCUGUGGCCGGCGAUCCGCUCUGAAGACCGUGUCAGGCGGGGAGUUUGACUGGGGCGGUACAUCUGUCAAAAGGUAACGCAGGUGUCCUAAGGCGAGCUCAGCGAGGACGGAAACCUCGCGUAGAGCAAAAGGGCAAAAGCUCGCUUGAUUUUGAUUUUCAGUACGAAUACAGACCGUGAAAGCGUGGCCUAUCGAUCCUUUUGACUUUAGGAGUUUUAAGCAAGAGGUGUCAGAAAAGUUACCACAGGGAUA